GAUGAACGCUAGCGGCAGGCCUAACACAUGCAAGUCGAGGGGUAGAGUUAGCUUGCUAACUUGAGACCGGCGCACGGGUGCGUAACGCGUAUGCAAUCUACCUUGUACAGAGGGACAGCCCAGAGAAAUUUGGAUUAAUACCUCAUAGUGUUAUAGAGUGGCAUCACUUUAUGACUAAAGUUCCAACGGUACAAGAUGAGCAUGCGUCCCAUUAGUUAGUUGGUGUGGUAACGGCACACCAAGACGAUGAUGGGUAGGGGUCCUGAGAGGGAGAUCCCCCACACUGGUACUGAGACACGGACCAGACUCCUACGGGAGGCAGCAGUGAGGAAUAUUGGGCAAUGGAGGCAACUCUGACCCAGCCAUGCCGCGUGCAGGAAGACGGUCCUAUGGAUUGUAAAACUGCUUUUGUACGGGAAGAAACCACUCUUCGUGAAGAGUCUUGACGGUACCGUAAGAAUAAGGAUCGGCUAACUCCGUGCCAG
This 485-nucleotide ribosomal RNA is filed under the name uncultured bacterium. Its description in RNAcentral is "bacterial SSU rRNA". It matches the Rfam family "Bacterial small subunit ribosomal RNA", at positions 28 to 511 of the family's 1533-position model. The record is from RNAcentral.